AACGAACGCUAUCGGUAUGCUUAACACAUGCAAGUCGGACGGACUAAUUAGGGCUUGCUCCAAUUAGUUAGUGGCAGACGGGUGAGUAACACGUGGGAAUCUGCCCAUCAGUACGGAAUAACUUUUAGAAAUAAAAGCUAAUACCGUAUAUUCUCUACAGAGGAAAGAUUUAUCGCUGAUGGAUGAGCCCGCGUCAGAUUAGGUAGUUGGUGAGGUAACGGCUCACCAAGCCGACGAUCUGUAGCUGGUCUGAGAGGAUGAUCAGCCACACUGGGACUGAGACACGGCCCAGACUCCUACGGGAGGCAGCAGUGGGGAAUAUUGGACAAUGGGCGAAAGCCUGAUCCAGCAAUACCGAGUGAGUGAUAAAGGCCCUAGGGUUGUAAAGCUCUUUUAGCAAGGAAGAUAAUGACGGUACUUGCAGAAAAAGCCCCGGCUAACUCCGUG
This 447-nucleotide ribosomal RNA is filed under the name uncultured bacterium. RNAcentral's name for it is "partial 16S ribosomal RNA". It matches the Rfam family "Bacterial small subunit ribosomal RNA", at positions 29 to 507 of the family's 1533-position model. The record is from RNAcentral.